CCGUUUUUGGUGGGUCGCGAGCCUUUUUCUAAAAAGAGAGAAAAAUAAAGAUAAUCCAAUUUAGUGGCGAGUCAUUGUAGUUCCCCUCCGCACCCGCAGGGGGUCGUCGUGUCAGCAGCGACCGGUGAGGACACUCGUAUUACUGUAGAAGAAACUGCAUGUUUUCAUAGCAACAGCAGCAUGGCUAAACGCAAGUACGACAGCGAGUACAUUAAAUAUGGAUUUUCCUACAUCGAAGACAAAGGAGUCCAAAAGCACGCAUCUGAAUAAACUUUUCGAGCGGUUUAGCGACUACUUUCCCGAUAAACAACCCGAGGACGACUGGGUGCGCGACCCGUUUGGAAUAAACAUGGAAAGCAUCACGUUGCCUAGCAGCGAUGAAUGUCAGCUGGUGGAGCGAUCAUGUGACCGCACUCUCAGAAAGAAAUUCACAGAGAUUUCAGUCAUCAACAAGGAAUUACAUUAAUGCCACUUCCUGUGACCCAGCUGCACCAAGCGUGGACAUGUGUGCGCCGCGAAUCAUACGUGGAGCAAAGGGAACUCACUCACCCAGAGAUCACUGGGUCCCCAAAUGCAGAGGAAUACAAGACACUGCAACAACUCCCUCAGAUCAUUUAGUAUUAUUUGUGCAUUCGGGGAAAGAUGCAGAGCAGGAAAUCUGUGGAUGUGUGGCAGGCGGGCACCGACACGUCUCUAGUGGCUAUGGGAGAGCGUACCAUGAAUAAAUUUAGCGCUGUCCCCAGGAGAUUGCCUUCAAUCACGAAGCAUAAGGUGUCAAUGCGGCGCCCUGUGUGCAUGCACCAAAUUACCUUCCACCAGAUUGCUGAGCUGGGUCUAAUAGGAAUGGGGAAUGGACUGAAGAGGACGGACUGCUAAUUAAUCUGGCCCAAGUCUGAGCCCAUGUCCUGGGCCUGCUGACAACCGGUCAAGUUGAGGCCAGGGAUACAUGUAUGAUCAGAUAGGAAAGAUGAAAAAUGUACAUGUAUUAAAGUGUUCAUGUAUACAAAUCUUUGGGAAAAUUAAUAAUAUGCAUAUAUUUGGUUUUGAUUAUGGCAUCUGUAUUAAUAAAUGGAUGCAUGAUCGUAUGAGCUGAAGUUAUUUCUAGCAAUAAACAACUACAAAAUUAUGCAGUUUUCAAACAAAUAUUAGAUAAUAAAGUUGACUUAAUCACACAUUUAUGCAGUUGAGAAACUGACUAGCUAUAAUAAUAUGGAUCCGUAAUCACCGGAGCAUUUUCUGUAGCAUAACAGCUUCAAAUGUUUCCAGUGAAUCCUAUGGUGUAUGAACCAUAACAUUAAAGGCCAUAUCCAGUAUUCCACACAAGCUGAAAUAUUAACAUCUCAAUUUACAUACAAAUUUCCAUGCAUCUAAAAGCGAAAAACUCUUUACCAAGCCAUUUUCCCAUUUUGAAUAAUAGGUGGUUUUCUGAGAUCCAGUUGAUUGACUAAACAAAGACAUGACUAGUGCAUUAAAGCAAUUGUUUAUUGCCACUGAAUUGUGGCAUAUGUAUAAUUUUGCUGUAAAUGGUUAUUAACUGAUACCGAAACCCUGGAUUUGUAUAAUAGCUGGUAAUCAUUCUACCUCAGGAUGUGUUUUCUCCCUCAUACACAGGGUUAAAGAAUUAGAGUGUAGUCAAUUACAUUUAGCGGGUCACAGAAAUUGAUUUACUGCCGAAAGAAUUUUCUUUUUUUUUUUUUCUGCUGGGCUUUGGCUCUGUGGUGGCAUUCUGCUCACAUAAUCAAGGAUGAGCGUUGCCUGUCUACCCAAUCUACUACUUGGUCCCACAGGGAAAAAUGACUUGCAACAGGAAAACCUGCAUGAAUACUAAUUUGCCUACUUGGCUUUAACAGCUUUUGCAAGCCAAUCUCAUAGGAAUUUUGUAGAAUAUGAUGUCUUUCCAUCUUUCCAUAUUAAUUACCCCAACUGAAAAUAGGGACAGCAAGAGAUGGGGAGAGUGACAGAAGAAGAGUGUUUGAGGGAGAGAAAGAGGGAUGGAAUCAUGGGAAUAGCUCUAAGCAGGGACUCUCUGCUCUCCAUCCUAAAUGCGGUUAAUUAUAAUGUGAUAUGAAGCAUCUUGAGCAGGAAUCUGGCAAUCUGGAUUUGGAGCUCUCUGACCAUAGCUCCAGUUUGGGUCUCUUCAUUACAGCUCAACAUGGCCAGUCCUUCUCGUCCCCUCAGCCUGAGGAUCACAGAAUUGGACUACAUGUAAGAAUAAAACUAGGACACGUUGGUUAUGUUCACGCCAGUGAGUGAGUCCUGAACUCUUACUCCCUUUCUUUAUUCCUUAUUGGCAGGUGAGACAAUAAACCUGCAUAAAUGGCGAUAUCAAUACAUGGAAAUAUUUCAUGUUCCUGUGCUCUAAUUACAUCACACUUCUUAACAAACACAUAUUUUUCUGAUUUCUGUAUUUUGUAACGAGGACUUUUUGACCACUGAAGUGUUGGUGUCUUUAUACUGUUGGCUUAAGUAUCCUUGGAAAAGCCAAAAGCACAAACAGCAUCAUAGACAAACCUUUGUUUACAAGAACUGAAUGCCUCUUUAACACUUGUGGUAGUAAGCUGAAGGCGAUCGAACGUGUCUGCCCUAAAUAAGCAACAAAACUAGAAAGUAUCAUAUCUCCCAGUGUAAGGAGACAAGGCUGAACAGCUGAUGACUGUAAAACUGAAAUGGGUCGAAACUGUUUUUCAGAAAAAGCAUUGUGUAAUUGGUAACACCUUUGUAAAAAUCUACUGGAGUCCUCAUUUCACAACUGAGAUGCUCACUGUUAACAUGAAUAGAGUUGAGCUGGCGGGCAAAUAGAUGAUAUUUGUUGGGAUUCUAUAAAGGUGUAUGAAAGUGUUGGAAGUACUUUUAGUGUGUUUAAGCUCACCUAUGAUUCUGCUAAAACACUACUCUGCACUACACAGUGGCAAGGGUAAUAUUGGAGGAAGUCAGCCAUAUAUGCUGGAACGGGAAACUGAUUCUGAAAAUGAAUAAUGGUAGAAAAAAGUCCACCUUGCAAAGCAAUGGAAUUGGUUCUUCAGGUUUGUUAUAUAUGAAACUCUGGUUGUCUGAAUCUCAAGGCGGUCUUUAAGGUGGUAAUAGGUGGAAAUACUACAUAGCCAUGUGACUGAUUACUUAUUUUGCUCAUAAUGGAUCUUGCAGCAUAAAAAACACACCAUAUAAACAUGGUAACAAGGCAAAAAACAAAAACAAAAAAACAUCCAUCCAUCCAUUUUCUAUACACCGCUUAAUCCUCAUUAGGGUCGUGGCGGGGCUGAAGUCUAUCCCAGCUGACUGACAGGUCACCAGUCUAUCACAGGAAUACAUAGACAGACAAACAAUCACACUUGCAUUCACACCUAUUGGCAAUUUAGAAUUAUCAAUUAACCUCAGCAUGUUUUUGGACUGUGGGAAGAAGCUGGAGAACCUGGAGAAAACCCACACAUGCACAGGGAGAACAUGCAAACUCCAUGCAGAAAGAUCCCAGGCCCAGGCUGGGACGUGAACCGCGGAUCUUCUAGCUCCAAGGCGAAAAUGCUAACAACCACACCAAGGUGCAGCCCCCACCGCACCCCCCAAAAAACUUGGAAAUGUGACUACAAGUAUGUAAUGUACAAAAGCUUUAGGUAGAUGGGGAUAUUCAAGCCUGACAUAAGGUAUCCCGCAUUCAUUUUGCAACAACCCAACAGCAACUACAGACAUAUAGCCAAAAUCAUAGAGAGCUGUCUUUUGUGACCAGAACAACAAGGAGCCCUGCAACAGAUGGUGUUGCCCCACAGAGCCCUGAUCUCAAAAUAUGGAGUCAGUCUGGGAUUACACGAAGAGACAGAAAAUCUGAGAUAGCACAAUUCACAGAACUGUGGCAAGUUCUUCAAGAUGCUAGAACUAUGUUCCUGCUGAAGAUUUUGAAAAACUGUGUGCAAGUAUACCAAAGAGGACUGGUGCUGUUUUAAAGAUGUAUUAAUUUGUGUUUGAUGUUUUCUGUUCUACUUUAUUUGUAUGGAUUGAGCUGAUACCUAAUGUUAACGCCUACCACUUCGGGACUGUGCAAUGCAUUUGAUGACAUAACAUCCAGAAACGCAGUUGAAUCGUGUUGACUCUAUUAAACAACUCAAACAAAUAGCAAC
This is a long non-coding RNA of Amphiprion ocellaris (clown anemonefish), 4109 nucleotides long. RefSeq lists it as uncharacterized. The transcript is spliced from 3 exons. NCBI's taxonomy places the organism in Eukaryota, Metazoa, Chordata, Actinopteri, Pomacentridae. The record is from RefSeq and is a predicted model, not a curated record.